GGUAAGUUGGUGAAUUUUUUGUUUUGGUUCCUAAAUUUUUUUUUGUUGAAGUCCAUACAUUUUAUGUUUUGUUGGCGUUAGUCCUUGACGUCAAAGUUCUGUUAAAAAAAUCCUAUGUGGCUAACGUUGCUGAAUUGACUUUUGUUUUUAAAUUUUUAUCAUGACACAUAUUAUUACAUAUGGUUCAAAUAUUUUCCACAAAAAUCAAGUCCUAAAAAUGCAUUUUAUAGUUUUAA
This 236-nucleotide long non-coding RNA is filed under the name Lathyrus oleraceus (garden pea). Its description in RNAcentral is "Pisum sativum (pea) long non-coding RNA (PSAT_LNC034150)". The record is from RNAcentral. Lineage: Eukaryota; Viridiplantae; Streptophyta; Magnoliopsida; Fabales; Fabaceae.